RNAcentral lists this ribosomal RNA (256 nucleotides) under uncultured bacterium. RNAcentral's name for it is "partial 16S ribosomal RNA". It matches the Rfam family "Bacterial small subunit ribosomal RNA", at positions 524 to 776 of the family's 1533-position model. The record is from RNAcentral.
UACGUAGGCAGCGAGCGUUGUUCGGAAUUACUGGGCGUAAAGAGUGUGUAGGCGGUGUUCCCAGUCUGUUGUGAAAUCUCCCGGCUUAACUGGGAGGGUGCAGCGGAAACUAGAAUGCUAGAGGGUGGGAGAGGUAAGGCGGAAUUCCGUGGUGUAGGCGGUGAAAUGCGUAGAUAUCAGGAGGAACACCUGUGGUGUAGACAGCUUACUGGACCACUUCUGACGCUGAGACACGAAAGCGUGGGUAGCAAACAGG